UAUAUCGGAACGUACCCUGGAGGUGGGGAUAACGUAGCGAAAGUUACGCUAAUACCGCAUACGAUCUAAGGAUGAAAGUGGGGGAUCGCAAGACCUCAUGCUCCUGGAGCGGCCGAUAUCUGAUUAGCUAGUUGGUAGGGUAAAAGCCUACCAAGGCAUCGAUCAGUAGCUGGUCUGAGAGGACGACCAGCCACACUGGAACUGAGACACGGUCCAG
RNAcentral lists this ribosomal RNA (217 nucleotides) under uncultured bacterium. RNAcentral's name for it is "partial 16S ribosomal RNA". It matches the Rfam family "Bacterial small subunit ribosomal RNA", at positions 114 to 334 of the family's 1533-position model. The record is from RNAcentral.